CCCUUAGAUGUCCGGGGCUGCACGCGCGCUACACUGAAGGAAUCAGCGUGCUAAAACCAUUGUCGAAAGGUAUUGGUAAACCCAUUAAAAUCCUACGUGAUUGGGAUCGGGAAUUGCAAUUAUUUCCCUUGAACGAGGAAUUCCCAGUAAGUGUGGGUCAUAAGCUCGCGUUGAUUACGUCCCUGCCCUUUGUACACACCGCCCGUCGCUGCCCGGGACUGAGCCGUUUCGAGAAAAGCGGGGACUGCUGCUGUCGGGGCUUUCGGGCCUUGGCUUCGGUGGAAACCGCUUUAAUCGCAGUGGCUUGAACCGGGCAAAAGUCGUAACA
This 328-nucleotide ribosomal RNA is filed under the name uncultured eukaryote. Its description in RNAcentral is "partial 18S ribosomal RNA". It matches the Rfam family "Eukaryotic small subunit ribosomal RNA", at positions 1470 to 1796 of the family's 1831-position model. The record is from RNAcentral.